RNAcentral lists this ribosomal RNA (497 nucleotides) under uncultured bacterium. RNAcentral describes it as "partial 16S ribosomal RNA". It matches the Rfam family "Bacterial small subunit ribosomal RNA", at positions 28 to 507 of the family's 1533-position model. The record is from RNAcentral.
GAUGAACGCUGGCGGCGUGCCUAAUACAUGCAAGUCGAGCGAACAGACGAGGAGCUUGCUCCUCUGACGUUAGCGGCGGACGGGUGAGUAACACGUAGAUAACCUACCUAUAAGACUGGGAUAACUUCGGGAAACCGGAGCUAAUACCGGAUAAUAUAUUGAACCGCAGGGUUCAAUAGUGAAAGACGGUUUUGCUGUCACUUAGAGAUGGAUCCGCGCCGCAUUAGCUAGUUGGUAAGGUAACGGCUUACCAAGGCGACGAUGCGUAGCCGACCUGAGAGGGUGAUCGGCCACACUGGAACUGAGACACGGUCCAGACUCCUACGGGAGGCAGCAGUAGGGAAUCUUGCGCAAUGGGCGCAAGCCUGACGGAGCCACGCCGCGUGCGUGAUGAAGGUCUUCGGAUCGUAAACCUCUUUUAUUAGGGAAGAACAAAUGUGUAAGUAACCCUGCACGUCUUGACGGUACCUAAUCAGAAAGCCCCGGCUAACUACGUG